AGAGUUUGAUCAUGGCUCAGAUUGAACGCUGGCGGCGUGCCUAACACAUGCAAGUCGAGCGGUAACAGGUGUAGCAAUACAUGCUGACGAGCGGCGAACGGGUGAGUAAUGCUUUGGAAUCUUCCCAGUAGUGGGGAAUAACCAGUCGAAAGAUUGGCUAAUACCGCAUACGUCUGUAAAGGGAAAGCGGGGGCUCGUAAGACCUCGCGCUAUUGGAUGAGCCAAAGUCGGAUUAGCUAGUUGGUGGGGUAAUGGCCUACCAAGGCGACAAUCCGUAGCUGGUCUGAGAGGACGACCAGCCACACCGGAACUGAGACACGGUCCGGACUCCUACGGGAGGCAGCAGUGGGGAAUAUUGGACAAUGGGGGAAACCCUGAUCCAGCGACGCCGCGUGUGUGAAGAAGGCCUGCGGGUUGUAAAGCACUUUUAGUGGGGACAAAAAGCUACGGACUAAUACUCUGUGGUCUUGAUUUAACCCAAAGAAAAAGCACCGGCUAACUCUGUGCCAGCAGCCGCGGUAAUACAGAGGGUGCGAGCGUUAAUCGGAAUUACUGGGCGUAAAGCGCGCGUAGACGGUUUUGUAAGUCAGAUGUGAAAUCCCUGGGCUCAACCUGGGAACUGCAUUCGAGACUGCAUGGCUAGAGUAUGGAAGAGGGAAGUGGAAUUUCCGGUGUAGCGGUGAAAUGCGUAGAUAUCGGAAGGAACACCAGUGGCGAAAGCGACUUCCUGGUCCAAUACUGACGUUCAUGUGCGAAAGCGUGGGGAGCAAACAGGAUUAGAUACCCCGGUAGUCC
RNAcentral lists this ribosomal RNA (795 nucleotides) under uncultured bacterium. Its description in RNAcentral is "bacterial SSU rRNA". It matches the Rfam family "Bacterial small subunit ribosomal RNA", at positions 8 to 796 of the family's 1533-position model. The record is from RNAcentral.